AAUUGCUAUGUCUUGCACAUCUGAGUUUCUACAACCUGGUUUGCAACUGGCUGGAUGUUCUUCAUCCUCUUUUGUUUCCUUCCUCUUUCAAACUAGUAUUUUGUUUGUUUUUUCUUCUAAAUGUAUCCCUUUAAAUCUCUGGGACUCUCCUUUGCUGGGUCUGCUCACUGCCCCCUCUGCUGUCCACCUGGGAGAUGAUGCUGGAUAAAGUGCCUGGUCCCUGCCACCCAGAGACUGUUCUCUCUUCACUGUCCACUCAUCAUCUCUGCAGGGACUCCCAGAAUGCUAAAUCUGUCACCAUCCCAGCUUGGAAAGCUGAGUGCCCCAAGAGGAGGUGGAUUCAGAAUAAAAUUCCUUAUUAUCAUCCUUAAGAGGCAAGACCUGUUUCCUGCUAGUUCCUGCAUAAUGAGUCAUCUUUUCCCUUCUUCCCUCUCCCCCAACCUCAGAUGUGCACCUGCUGUGGUUCUCUGGAUCUGUGGAUGCUUCACCAGGCUUUCCCAAGGCACCCCUACCUGGCCUCCUUACCCCAGGGAGUCUGCUCGGCGCCAUAGUCUUGGGACACCUCCUUAAACUCUCCAGAUAAGGGAGGUAAAAGAAAAAACAAACACAGCUACAUUGCAACUCAUUUGUUCUCAGCUUGGAACAUUUGCAUCUGUGCGAGGCAAUUAGGCUUAAUGGAACGGCCCCGUGCAGAGGUUGGAGCCUGUGCUAUGGCGAUGGAGGGUUAUCUAGACUGCAUACUCUGAAAUUCAGUCCAGGAUGCUUGACCCAAGAAUCAAAGAGAGAAAAGAAAAUGGAGCCUUGCACGCUUUCUGGCAUCCCAGGAUUGUUACCCUGGUGGCUGUGAGACUCUGUGGUUUGGGUAUUCAAACGGUUGAUAAGGACAAAGACUGGUGAGUCCCUCCAGUGGGGAGAGACCCUGUUGCAAUGAUUUCUUGUUCCUGAAGCAAAACUCGGAGAGAAUAAGUCUCAAAGACAGCUGUGUUGAUUAUGUUGCUACCACACGCAGUCUCACGUCUCAGCUUCCAGGGAGGGCCUUCCAGGACAGUACGUGUCCCGAAGUGUGCCACCCUCUCCGGGAGAGCCAGCUGGUAGUUUUUGGCAGCUGGUGGCAUUGAACUUGAGCUUCGUUUUGGAAACAUCUUCUAAGACUCACCUGCUGCUACACCUAAUGGUACCAGACCUUGGGAGACAGUGUAGUCAGGAACCAAAGGGGCUCGUGCGAAGAAUGAGCUGGUGUGGUAGGAGACGGCCACAGAAGGGAAAACGCCUGAUUCUCCGUGGGCCUUCUCCACACACCGGGAGGCAGGCGUUCUUAGUGUCCUUCGCCCAGCUGCACCCCCACCAGUUUCAGAGGAAUGUCCAUGCUGGGAAUCUGGUUUUCCCCUGGAACGCCAUCUCUGUUUAACAUCAGAGGGUGAUGGAUUUUUUUAAACAGGAGAGUGGCUUGGCAUACUCCUCUACUGGCACAUCCACUUGUUAGGGAGGGGACCCCAUGUGCUGCAUCUUCAUGGGAGUUGUGGAAGCACCACAGAGAGUCAGUGGGCAUCUCGGCGGAAGACGAUUAGAAAGGAGUCUUCUCUGGACUGGGAAGCAUGUGAAGGAGGGCCGGAAGGGGGGCUGGAUGCGUGGAAUUCAGGUUUGUAUCACAGCUUCAGGAAGGCACUUUCAGCUGAUUGAGUAGCAUCUUGUCAUUAUUUAAGCUGCUGUCCAUCAGUAGUCUUAAAAUCCUUAUUCUCUUCUUGGUGACUUAUAGGAGAUUCUGACAUCAACUGUAAAAAGAAGAACAUUUAAAAUUCUAUUUACUUGAGAAUAAUUGUGAGGCCAAGUUGUAUCAGAAAAUCCAUUAAGUACUUAAAAGAUUAAUUUUCGUUAUGACUGCUAGUUAGUAAAUAUUAUCUUUUAUAUCAUCCUGAACAAUAAUAUGAGGGAUGGGAACUAUUUAACUUGUUUUGGUUUGAUUUUAAAACUUUAAUUAUGGUAAUAUUUGGCAUUAUUAUUAGUAUUAUAAGAGGACUGAAGCAAAUUACUUUUGGUGGUUGAUUUCUUGAAACAGUUUUUACUGGAUCACUGGAAAUGAAGCUUAAAUCCUGGAAGCAAGUGUAGAGAUGGGAGGAAAUUGAGUCUAAUGGGAGAAGAGUAAAGUUACCUGGGAAUUCCGAUUUAUUUUGGGCAAAAUCUCUUAUGGUUAGUUGCGUAAUGAUGAAGGAGUCGGUGUUCUGCCUGUUCAUUCAUUCAUUCAUUCAUUCAAUGAGUACUUACCGAAGCUGAUGCAUUCUUUUUUGGGGGGAGUGAUAUUAAUUUAAAAAAUUUUAUUUUUAAUAAGCAAUGUGUAGAUCUAAGAUAUACAAUAUGCUGAUUGGAUAUUCGUAUAUGUAGUGAAAUGAUUACUAUAGUAAAGCUAAUUAACAUAUCUUCUCCUUACGUAGUUACUGUCUUUGCUGUGAAAUGAGAGCACCUGAAAUUUACUUGUGGGGGACUGGAAUUGGCCACCCCAAGAUAUGCCUCUUUGGCAUGAGGAUUAUUUUGGGCUGGUUACCUUAAAAACUGCGGAUAGGAAAGAAACUCGGAAAAGUAGAAUUUACUUACCCUUUGUUAAGAGACAUUUAUAUUGUAAAAGAAAUCUCCAUCUGUAAAGGG
This 2640-nucleotide long non-coding RNA is filed under the name Equus caballus (horse). RNAcentral's name for it is "lncRNA (ENSECAG00000052765.1)". Lineage: Eukaryota; Metazoa; Chordata; Mammalia; Perissodactyla; Equidae. The record is from RNAcentral.